CAAUAGCGUAUAUUUAAGUUGUUGCAGUUAGAAAGCUCGUAGUCGGAUUUUGGCUGAGAACGAUCGGUCCGCCGUUAGGUGUGCACUGAUUGGUCUCAGCUUCCUGGUGAGGAGGUGUGCUUCACGGCCACUUAGUCACCGUGGUUACUUUGAAAAAAUUAGAGUGUUCAAAGCGGGCUUACGCUUGAAUAUAUUAGCAUGGAAUAACACCAUAGGACUCCUGUCCUAUUUCGUUGGUCUCGGGACGGGAGUAAUGAUUAAGAGGAACAGUUGGGGCAUUCGUAUUUCAUUGUCAGAGGUGAAAUUCUUGGAUUUAUGAAAGACGAACUUCUGCGAAAGCAUUUGCCAAGGAUGUUUUCAUUGA
RNAcentral lists this ribosomal RNA (364 nucleotides) under uncultured eukaryote. RNAcentral's name for it is "partial 18S ribosomal RNA". It matches the Rfam family "Eukaryotic small subunit ribosomal RNA", at positions 592 to 976 of the family's 1831-position model. The record is from RNAcentral.